GACGAACGCUGGCGGCGUGGAUUAGGCAUGCAAGUCGAACGGUAGGAUACCUUCGGGUAUCUGAGAGUGGCGAACGGGUGAGUAACACGUAGGUGAUCUACCCUCAAGAUUGGGACAACCCAGGGAAACUUGGGCUAAUACCGGAUGAAAGCAGCAGUGAUGUUGUUUGAAAGGUGGCGUAAGCUGCCGUUUGGGGAUGAGCCUGCGCUCUAUUAGUUAGUUGGCGGGGUAAAGGCCCACCAAGGCGAUGAUAGAUAGGCGGCCUUAACGGGUGGUCGCCCACACUGGGAUUGAGAGACGGCCCAGACUCCUACGGGAGGCAGCAGUCGAGAAUAGUCUACAAUGGACGGAAGUCUGAUAGUGCGACGCCGCGUGAACGAAGAAUCCCUUCGGGGUGUAAAGUUCUUUUAUACGUGAGCAGUGCCCUUUAUAUGAAUAGUAUAGAGGGAGGAUUUAAGCGUAUGAAUAAGCAACGGCUAACUCCGUG
This 487-nucleotide ribosomal RNA is filed under the name uncultured bacterium. RNAcentral's name for it is "bacterial SSU rRNA". It matches the Rfam family "Bacterial small subunit ribosomal RNA", at positions 28 to 507 of the family's 1533-position model. The record is from RNAcentral.